UUGACCUCGGAUCAGGUAGRARUACCCGCUGAACUUAAGCAUAUCAAUAAGCGGAAGAAAAAGAAACCAACAGGGAAUUGCCCUUAGUAACGGGCGAGUGAAGCGGGCAACAGCUUCAAAUUUGAAAAUCCUGGCCCUUGGGGUCCCAAAUUGGUAAUUUGGUAGAGGGAUGAAUUUUGGUGGCGGUAAUCUUUCCAAGUUCCUUGGAACAGGACGCCUUAAAAGGGUGAGAGCCCCGACGGUGAAUGCUAGCCUCUGAAAUCUCCUUCACAAUCAGUGUUGGGAAGCAA
Molecule: ribosomal RNA, 290 nt
Filed under: Pestalotiopsis sp. 9JAES
Lineage: Eukaryota; Fungi; Ascomycota; Sordariomycetes; Amphisphaeriales; Sporocadaceae
Description: partial 28S ribosomal RNA
Rfam family: Eukaryotic large subunit ribosomal RNA
Source: RNAcentral